Long non-coding RNA from Brassica rapa (field mustard), 753 nucleotides. RefSeq lists it as uncharacterized. The record is from RefSeq and is a predicted model, not a curated record. Lineage: Eukaryota; Viridiplantae; Streptophyta; Magnoliopsida; Brassicales; Brassicaceae.
GAAAUAUUUAAUAUACAUGUUGCAGAAGUUAUACAAGCUGGUUUGGUCUACAUGUCUUGACAGGAAAACAAGAAGAAGACAAGAAGAAACAGAAUUUUUGCAUGUGAAAAAGAAGAAGACAAGAAGAAACAAAAGCGGUGCAUCUCCUCCUGAUUGUUUCGUUUGAUGAUAUGCAGAGAGCCAUGCUUACUUUCUCUUCAAUUGCUUUGGAUAGAAUGCUAGAGCCAGGUGCUAGGAGUUAGACGAUUUGGAUUUAUCUGUACUGUUUUUUUCUUUCAGGCCUUUGAAACUAUACAAAAGAUACUGAGCAUGAGCAAAAACAAGAGGGUUGAUGUUGUUUUACUGGACCGUAUAAUGACAUAGUUAGAAAAUAGGAAUUCAUCAUCUUUAUCGGUUGAAACUGAAGCUUUUUCCUGAUGAAUCAACGGAAACAAAACCGUAUGCUGAAACACAGCGGCACUUGGAGUUGCUUGGAAAAAUUAUUCAGCAGAUUGUCCGAACAGAAAGUACAUCUAAAAUCUGGGGAUUAUAUGCGAGAUGGAGUAGAAUCAAAAGAAAUCUUAUGGUAUGCAGCGAGGCACUGUUUAUGAUCGUCAAGUUGGAUACUUUAGUUUUGAUGGGAAAAUUGGUAACGCUCAUUCAUAACAGCAAAAAGAUUGAGAAAUCUUCCAUACACAUUUGAUCAUACACAUUUGAUCAUAUUACAUGUUUUAAAUUUUUUUUUUAUUCCUAAGGACUCCAAAUUGGAGAACA